This 409-nucleotide ribosomal RNA is filed under the name Klebsiella pneumoniae. RNAcentral describes it as "bacterial SSU rRNA". It matches the Rfam family "Bacterial small subunit ribosomal RNA", at positions 569 to 977 of the family's 1533-position model. The record is from RNAcentral. RNAcentral also lists the same sequence under 4 other names. Lineage: Bacteria; Pseudomonadati; Pseudomonadota; Gammaproteobacteria; Enterobacterales; Enterobacteriaceae.
ACGCAGGCGGUCUGUCAAGUCGGAUGUGAAAUCCCCGGGCUCAACCUGGGAACUGCAUUCGAAACUGGCAGGCUAGAGUCUUGUAGAGGGGGGUAGAAUUCCAGGUGUAGCGGUGAAAUGCGUAGAGAUCUGGAGGAAUACCGGUGGCGAAGGCGGCCCCCUGGACAAAGACUGACGCUCAGGUGCGAAAGCGUGGGGAGCAAACAGGAUUAGAUACCCUGGUAGUCCACGCCGUAAACGAUGUCGAUUUGGAGGUUGUGCCCUUGAGGCGUGGCUUCCGGAGCUAACGCGUUAAAUCGACCGCCUGGGGAGUACGGCCGCAAGGUUAAAACUCAAAUGAAUUGACGGGGGCCCGCACAAGCGGUGGAGCAUGUGGUUUAAUUCGAUGCAACGCGAAGAACCUUACCUG